This 375-nucleotide long non-coding RNA is filed under the name Carica papaya (papaya). RNAcentral describes it as "long non-coding RNA (CPAP_LNC005644)". The record is from RNAcentral. Lineage: Eukaryota; Viridiplantae; Streptophyta; Magnoliopsida; Brassicales; Caricaceae.
AAUCACCCCAAGAGUCGUGAAGUUCUUCUCUGUCUCAGUUAACUAGUACUCGGCCUCUUCAAAGGAGGAUUCCCCUACAAAAGUAGAUGAGUUUAGUCUUUUAUACCUCUCAAUGUAGUCUGGGUCCAUCAUGGGAGGAACUGGGUCCCGUGGGAGAUGGACUGGAUUGUGCUUGUGAUGCAGUUAGGGCACCAGGUUAUACUAUGGCGGCGCCGGGUAGUACUGUGGCUGGGGCACUGGAUCAUACUCUGGUGGUGCUGGAUGGUACUGUGGAGGAGUAGGGUCGUACUGGGGUGGCUCAGGAUCCUCUUACUGUAGGGGUGGCUCGACCUGUGGCAGCGAGAGAGGGUCAGGAAGCUCCCUCCUUUCCUCCCG